Molecule: long non-coding RNA, 329 nt
Organism: Nothoprocta perdicaria
Lineage: Eukaryota; Metazoa; Chordata; Aves; Tinamiformes; Tinamidae
Exons: 2
Source: RefSeq, a predicted model, not a curated record
GGAGCUGGGAGGAUCCCUGGCAGAGCACACGGUGCUUCCCGGCAGAACCUGCUCCUGCAGGGCUGGAGUACAGGGCAUCGUGCACAGAAGUGGCACCAUGGCCAUGGGCAUCGUGCACAGAAGUGGCACCAUGCAGCCCGUGCAGAGUGCACGUCAGCCAGUGCUUGGCUUUCUGGUGCACGCUGCCUGAUGCUGGUGCACAAGACAUCCCUGGAGCAAUUUCAUGGAAGAGCCAGGCCAGGAGAGGACUGUGCAGGUCUUGAGGAGCAACAUGAGACAGAGUGUCCAGUGAUGGAGAAAAUGGGCACUCUCCCUUGCUGGAGUCUCCU